This is a long non-coding RNA of Cavia porcellus (domestic guinea pig), 5571 nucleotides long. RefSeq lists it as uncharacterized. Lineage: Eukaryota; Metazoa; Chordata; Mammalia; Rodentia; Caviidae. The transcript is spliced from 4 exons. The record is from RefSeq and is a predicted model, not a curated record.
AGGCUUGCUUGCUUUGCAGUUUUAGGCUUUAAAAGACACAGCCCUGCUCAAGUACAGGGUUCUCCAUUCCCACCUGUUUGGAGGACCCCAUGCACAUGGAAAAUAAAACCCCUUUGUUCUUACAUGAGAGCUGAGUCGUUGGGGUCUUCUUCGUGACACCGGUCUUACAUUUGGAGGCCCCAGCAAGAUAGACCUCCUUGUGGAAGGAGGCCCCAACUAAGCACUCCAGCUAAGCACCUCUCUGGGGUAACAGCCAAUUCUUGUUUACUUUCAUUUUGCAAACGAUUGUUCAUUUUCUCUUCCUUUUUUACUGCCCUGGACUGUUCUUGUCGUUUCUUUGGUCCCGAAUUCAAGGGCCAUUUGUUUCUAUUGGGGGAUGCCCCAAGGCUCCCUCGUGGAAUAUUUGACUGUGGUUCUGCACCAAUUUGAGUAGGCAGGUCCCUCCUGCUGAGCUGGGUAGGUUGCUCCUACCACCCUGUGUAGUCGUUUCACGGCUACUUUGCGGGGCUUCUUCGCCGAUCUGUUUCCGCCACCUAGUGGUGUAGGUACCUGGGAUCCAACUCACGACUGCCUGCUUGCAAGGCAGGCGCUUAUGCUGCUGAGCUAAAUCUCCAGCCCCCGCUGUCACAUUUUAAAUGGGGUUCCUAAAUCCAUCCAUCUCCAUUAAUUUGGCAGAGGAGGAUGCAGUAUAAUUGGCCCCAAACCCAGGUCUCUGGAAAUGGACUGCAGCAUUUGUCACUGGCAGACAGAGAACAUCUCCUCAUAGCAACCACGAAACUACCCUGUCAGUAACAACCAAAUCAACAACAGUAAUAGCAUCAAAGACAAACCGGAUAUUGACAUACCAUCUCCAGAGCAGAAAGAAUCAUCCUGAGGGGUCACUUGUGAAGAGCUUCUUACAAACCUGACCUUGAUUCUCAUUAGAGGAUCCUGGACUCAGGCCAGUACUAUAAUGAGAUGAAAUCUGGGAAGUUUGAGAGGGUACAAUUAUACUUUGCAUUAGAAGUCAUUUAUCACUGAACUAUGUUCUAUGCUGAUGAAAGAUGGCUCCGAAUUCCUUGAAGGGAUAAGUUCAAUUCCUUUGUUUUAAAUUGGGAUUGAUCUAAUUGUUUAUGCAACCAAUAGAAUGUAAUGGAAAUGACAUUUGGAAAAUCACUCUUGGGGAUAUUGGGGACUAGGUGAGAAAUCUAAGUACCUAGAGACCUAAAAUGUACAGAGAAAGACAGACAAGUGGUAUAUAGGAACAGGCUGCCAAAGGCAGAAGGUGCCAGUCAACCAAAAAAAGAUGUGGAGAAAUCCAGAAUUGCAUAAAAUGCAGUUUAGAAGAGAUUUACAGACAGAAGCAUAUUUUGGGUAGUUAGAAGAUCGGAGAAUCUUCACAACCCAGAACAGGAGAAAGGGUUUUAUAGCUAAUGUGGACAUUUAAUUUGUCCUACUGUGGAAUAUACUUGGGCUUUCUCAAAAACCACUAGCAUCUUGAAUACUACUAAAGAGAUAGGCAGUCCUCAGUGCACAACACAAAAAAUUCCAUUAUAUUAAUGACAUUGUUUACCCUAUUGAGUUCAGAAUUUGUGCCAGGAUCACCUAUUGCAAGAAUGGUAAUUACAAAUAAGAUGCUUGCUCUCAUGUCUUUGUAAAGAGAGAGCAAUAAUAAGACACAGAGAAAGAGAGAGAAGGAGAGAGAAAAGGGGAGAUGGGAGAGAUGAGAGAAGAAGUAGAUUAUCUCUUUGCAUAUGUUGGAUUAUCUCUGAACAAACCCCAUUAGUAACUUCAAACUCAGAAAAAAAUGUUAGAAAGAAAAAUGUGAAGAAAGUAAUCCAAAUGAGAGUCAGAAUUGACGACCCAAAUACAUGGGCUCAUCUAAUGGAAAUGCCAUCUCCAGAAAGCUAAAUCAGCCUAUGUUGUAAAUAAGAUUUACAAGGAAAAAGAUUUAAUACAGGACAAAUAAUUUAUAGGAUUAUUUUAUAAUGUUCACCCAAACAGUCAAAUGCAUAAUGUGCAAGAGAUCUGCCCAUAUGCUAGAGAUCCAAAGAAUCCAGCUGAAGGCCUGGAUUCCAGAGCAAUGUCCUGCACAAGUCCAGCUGAAGACCUAAAGCAGAUGCAGUGUGCUUCAUCAGUCCAUCUAGAGGCCUAGAGCUCACAAUGUCUCAUGCAAACCUGUAUGGAGUAUCUGCCCUGGGAAGGUCCAACGGUCAGCAGUGAAAAUCAGAAAGCCUACUCCAAACUGAUGAGGGAUCCACUCCAGCAGACUGAGGGAUCUGCACAGGAGCCAGGAAGUGAUGCUCAAUGUAAGGACCAGAACUCUCCUGCAAAGAAUCAUAACCUUCAUCUUUGUAAGUAAGAACAACUGAGUUCUUAUCAGGAAAGCCAGCAUGAUAAGCUUCUCUGUGAGAAUCAACAGUACACUGUCUUCCCCUCCAGUUAUCCUUCUUUGUUGUUGGCAGGAAUCCUUGAGUGGACCAUCCAUACCCAACACUGUGCUGUGUGCUACAAACUGACCAUUGGUUAGUCUACCACAGCCUCAUUGUGGACCUCUUUCAUUCUGGAGCACAGAGUAGAUCCCACUUUUAAUCGAUGCAGAAAAUACUGAUCUGCAAAACCAUAAGGACAUUAAAACGAUUACUUUUUACAUUACAUAUUGUAAUGGUUUGAAAUCCAACAACAAACAGUUCCUCAGCUAAACAUUUUCACAUAAAUAUUGAUAUAGGACCCUAAAGAUCUAGAAGAAAUAGCAUUGUGAUGGAUACAUAACUGUGGACAUCAUCAAGAAAACAGUAGUUGAAAUAACAGGUAAAUUAAAUAGCUUAGGCAAUGUGAUUGGAAAAAGGCAUAUAAAUGAUACUAGAAAUGAGCAUAACAUACAGCCAGUUGAGUAAUUAUAUAUAAACAUUUUAUUAUAUGUUAAAAUAUUUAUGGAUAUUGUAUUUGUAAGGAAGAGGCAAUUUUCUUUUCUUGAUUUGAAAGAACACAAAUGAUUGCCAAGAAAAAUAAUGCUUGGAGGGACUUUGAUGUUUGCAUGAAAAUUCACCAAAUACAAUGGCUUAAAGUAAUGCAGAGGCGUCCUUCCUAGGAAUUGUGUAGAAAGCAUGGUUCAUGCACAGAGUUUGUGUUUCCUCUUUUUUAAUCUGGGAUCCUCAGUGGCAAUGUUUUCUAGUAACAAGCUAUGGUUCUCAGAUAUAAUUCAGUUUUUAUCAAUGCAAGGUAAUCUUAAGUGAUACACUCCAUUGUUGGGCUAGAAAUUUAGGACAUUUGUUUGUUUGCUUUGUUUUUUCUUAUCUUAGAAGCAAAAUAUGAGAGCCUGGAGCCUGAGAUCAGCCAGGGGCCUGAAUCACCAAUGUGAAGAUCAUUUGUGAGCUAACCAGGAACACCCUCAUUUUACAGCUUCAUGAAUAAAAAAAAAAAAAAAAAAAAUGAAAUUCUGUUUGCAAAAGCCACUGAAAUGUUAAUACUUAUUUGUAACACCACAAUAUUAUCAUCAUUUGCUAUUUUAUUAAACGGAUUCAUUUGUGACAUUAAAGAAACAUGGAAAGAAAGAUUGAAAGUUUGGAGGUAUUUAAUGUAUAGAGUCCUAUGUGUUCCUGAUUAAAUUGAGCAAAACUUCUCAAAGACAAGUACCAGGGGGUUGGUGUGAUCCAAAUUCUCUUUCCAGAAUUAGCACAAAAAACAAUUUAAUUGUUUUUGAUCUCUGCUUUUGCCCAUUAACACAGAAUAUCACUUUAAUUCAAGGCUUUUUGCAGUAAUUUGUAACUCAUGCCUUGUCAUUUUUAUCAAUUUCUAAGUGCAGAGAGUAUAUACAAAAAAGGAUCAGAAAUAUCAUUUUUAAAAUGCAACAUACAGUGAACGUCUAAUACCCUCCCAUAUUCAUGGGCUUCUAUGCCACAGAAGUCAGAUUCACUGAAUGGUAAAAUAAUAGCACUUGUCUCCCUCUUCACUGAACUUAUUAGUGUGUGUCUCUCACUGUGAAGAAAAAGGAGUGAAAUGUAACCACUUGAUGUCUCUAUCGUGUGUGUGUUGGUGUGUAUAAAGGAAGAAAGAAGAUCUUCAAGUGUCUUAGCUGUAUUUUCUACAAUGAGACAUAUUACGUAACUACUGCUUGUUGAACUGUAAUUAUAACGGAGCCACCUUUAUAAACAUGAAUACAAGGAAAACUAAUUAGGCGCUGACAAUAAGCAAAUAUUAUACUCUUAAUUAGAUCUUCUUCUACUGGAAAUCCUGCUUUGGUCCUGCUACUCCAGUGUGAAUGACAUUUGAAUCAUAACAGUGUCUCACAGAAACGGUCUUUCAGGAAUGAAAAAGACAGCGCAGUGUCACAGUCAAUGAAUACCUUUUCAAAUCUUUGCUAAUCUGAAGUCAAUGAAACACUACUCCCCCUAACAGCUGCUUUUGCUGAUUUGUAUACCCGCAUAAUUACAGUGGAAAGUUCAGGCUGCACAUUUUUAGUAUACGUAUAUUUUGAUAGUGCUUUUGUCACAUAUUAUUUUCACAUAGCUGAUUACUAUGAAAAACUGAACUCUGAGUUCUUAGAAGAGGAAUCUAGAAGGCAAAAUGCAAUCCGAUGUUUUAUCAGUGUUUGAUCUCUCAUCUCCAAAUCUCAGUCUUCCUGUCUCUGUCUCUCUCCCUCUCUAUCUCCAGCUCUGCCUUUCCCUUCUUCUCCCCAACCCACAAAUGUCUGCUCAGCACACGUAUUUCCAAAGAAUGAUAUGCUGAGAAUCUGUAGAACGUUUUGUCAGUAGAGUAUAAUACAUGAGAAAAUAAAUUUAAAUAAAGAAGGAUGUCUUUUUUCACCACUACUCAGAGGUUAAACGGAUAGUCAAUUGGCUUCCUUGUUUCUUGGCCUGUGGUGAGGCACCAACCAGCACAUGGUGGGGAAAAUCCGCACAGCUCAUGGUGCCCAGGAAUCAAACGCAGACAAGAAGGAGCCUUGGGGACAGAUUCCAUGCUUAAAGUGAUGUCCCUGGGAUCUGACUGCUGUAAUCUAGGGCUUACCUCCCACAGUUUCCACCACCUCCCUGAAGCCCAUUACUCUGUAUCAAUUAAUCUAUUGGUCAGUACCAUCAUGAUCCAGUCACCUUCCAAAGAUCCACAUCUGAACACGGGUCUAUUAGCAAUCAGGCUUUCAAAGCAAUAGCCAUUGGACUGAGCCUUCAAAACAUAGCAGAAGGUCCUACUGUGUGUAAGGUUCUGUGAUGGGAGAGAAGAGAAGGAUGUGUUUUCGUGGAGAGAAUUUGCUCACUAAAAAAAACUGUAACCAUCACCUUGUUAGACACAUGCUGAGACAUCCUCAGGUGUGGGUGAGGACUAUCUUCAAGAGCUUUGCAUAACAGACACACAUCUAUUCAUGAGACCAGAGGGCAGAAUCAUGCUACUCUUUCAACUUAGAAUGUGAUUUUUAAAAAAGCAGGUGUUAAGAAACAGCUAAGCUCAGACAUGCAUAAAAAACAAGAAAACAUUAUUUUGUUUCCUAAAGGACAAAGAAACAGUGGUGAUUCGAUAGUCACAUAUCAUGGAUUAAAUAUCUGUGUCUCAGAUCUCAAAAAUGCAAAAAUGAUUUUCUGAAAUGAACAAAUUAUU